This 404-nucleotide long non-coding RNA is filed under the name Phasianus colchicus (ring-necked pheasant). RNAcentral describes it as "lncRNA (ENSPCLG00000021121.1)". Lineage: Eukaryota; Metazoa; Chordata; Aves; Galliformes; Phasianidae. The record is from RNAcentral.
UGUGGGUCUUCUGUAUGCUGAAGUUCCAAGCAAUGCCUUUCUUAUUUCUCUAUCUUACAUGAAGUCGUCUAAAUGACUUUUUCUCAAUUUUAUUUCUUUUUCCAGCUUCUUCCACCUUUCACAGGAGAAAGAAAGCAUAAAAACAAUUUUCUUGAUGUGUGUGCUGUUGUGGUGCAUUGUGAGAUGAAAUUCUCCAGGCUCUACAUUUAUUCCAGCACCUGUUAGGACAUCAGAAGGCUGUAUAUAUGGUCUUCCCUUCAGCUCUAUCCCACCAGGAGGUACCCACCUGGUUUGUCUCAUAUGCUGGAAGUAAAAUGUAGUAGAAAAAUUGUGUAUCCAGAUGGACCUUCCCAGGUAUUGACAAGGAGCAGACAGUCCAGUCAACUUUUUGUUUAGAAAAGGAA